RNAcentral lists this long non-coding RNA (1118 nucleotides) under Mus musculus (house mouse). RNAcentral's name for it is "long non-coding RNA chr2:152280316-152281434". The record is from RNAcentral. Lineage: Eukaryota; Metazoa; Chordata; Mammalia; Rodentia; Muridae.
UAAACGUUUGGUUUUAUUUAUCAAGGUUAGAUUUAAGUUCCCUGUGUAAAGGUCUCGCUGGGUGGGUGUCUCAUUCAAACCUGAGGGGACUACAGCCCAGACCAUGGAAGCUUCCCAAGGCCCUCAUUUUUAUACAACCCUCAUUUGACCCAUGGUACUGGGCAGGGCAGAGAGGCCUUAAAAAAAGCACCACAAGCCAAAGCGUCUCUGGGGAUUAAGGAUCCUUUGCCAUAAAACUCAUUCUGUGUCUCAGCAUUGCAGGGAUUGGGGAUAGGAAAGGCGCCAGUUUUUGUGUGUUUGUGUGUGUAUAAAGUGGACUUUCCACUGUAAUCCAGCCACCUAAGUUUAUCAGGUGCUUCACUGAGGAAGCCUAGUUUUUUAAGCACAAUAGCAAAACAUCAGCUCUGUAUUUUCUCCUGUUAUUUCAUUACAGUAGCUGCCUGUGGGGACUAGGAAAACAAAUCUUCCAACAUAUUUUAAGGCCUAAAAUCUUAGUUCCCCAUUCUCCUACCUUUUUAGAUUCAUAAGCAUUUCUCACCUGGCAUCAUAGAUAAAACAUAAUUGUUUGGGGAGUUGAAUUUAAUUAACUUACCUAACUUUGUAACCCAUCUUGGCUUUAGUAACUUUAUCAAGGUGGUGGCUUUAGCGAAUGUAAUGAUAAAAGUAGAGGAUGCUAAUGCUUUUCUUAACAUUUCUCAACCAUAGAGAGAGCUAAAAGGACUGCAGAGUGAGUUUCUUCUUUUUGGCCACUUGCAGUGACUAUUUAUUGUACUCGAUUCUUGUGUGCCCUAGCGUGCUAUGAGGGUCACCAUGUUGGAUUUGUGCAGAGCUGAAAGCACCAGGUGUGCCAGAGAUGCAGUUUGUGAUUAUGUUUGCACUGGAUCGUGAUUUGAACAAGACACUUAGACUGAUGAAUUCUUUCUUUUGAGGUGGAAAGGAAAGUUGUAGAUCAGGACUCUACACCCUGCUCACAGCUCAGAAGUGUAGGUGUGUCUGAGGCUGGUGUGGACCGCUGUGGAUAACUGGGCCUCCUCACACAUCAAACCUGUGCAAGAGCUGAGGGUAAUGCAGAGGACUCUGGUGUGCCACCGAAGAGCCCUUUAAAUAAAUCGAAGCUU